CAAGUCUGGUGCCAGCAGCCGCGGUAAUUCCAGCUCCAAUAGCGUAUAUUAAAAUUGUUGCAGUUAAAAAGCUCGUAGUUGAAUUUCUGCUACAUUGCCUAUUCUCCUUUACGAGUUUGGGUCUUUUGUGGCUUAUCUGGGUUCGCUUGCGUUCCCGGUGUUUUACUUUGAGAAAAUUAGAGUGCUCAAAGCAGGCUUUUGCCUUGAAUAGUUUAGCAUGGAAUAAUAAAGUAGGACUUUGGUUCUAUUUUGUUGGUUUUAGGUACCAAAGUAAUGGUUAAUAGGAACAGUUGGGGGCAUUCGUAUUUAACUGUCAGAGGUGAAAUUCUUAGAUUUGUUAAAGACGAACUACUGCGAAAGCAUUUGCCAAGGAUGUUUUCAUUAAUCAAGAACGAAAGUUAGGGGAUCGAAGACGAUCAGAUACCGUCGUAGUCCUAACCAUAAAC
This 446-nucleotide ribosomal RNA is filed under the name Theileria velifera. RNAcentral describes it as "SSU rRNA". It matches the Rfam family "Eukaryotic small subunit ribosomal RNA", at positions 556 to 1037 of the family's 1831-position model. Lineage: Eukaryota; Apicomplexa; Aconoidasida; Piroplasmida; Theileriidae. The record is from RNAcentral.